CUUGCCGCCCAGAGUCUGAGGCCACAUUUGAACUCAGGUGCUCCUGAUUCUACAUGGGGUGCUUUAUCCACCGUACCAGCCAGCUACCGUGGAGGAUCCAGUGUUUUACAAAAAGGAAAGCAGGGUUCACAGGCUGGCAAGUCAGAGGAGGGCUCUAAAUAGCAUUUGCUUAGAUUUCAGAAGAUUGUGGUUUGUUUGUCUCUUGGCUUUCCUUCUUGAAGAAGACCAAUGACAUCAAGGUGAUGUUUUGACUUGUGGGUAGAUCGAUUUUAAAUAAGGGAGGGCUGUGCAAAGUCUCUAGCUUCACUUUUUCCUCCAGAGCCAUCUAAGUGCAAUGGACAAGAUUUUACUGGAAAUGGGCCAGGAUACAAUGGGAGAACUUGGCCUUUUAAAGCUAAGGUCUUCCCCACGUCUCCGUUUGUCUGAAGAAGACCAAUUCAGUGAUUAAGGGUAGGUAAGAAUGAGCCAAAAAAUGGUCUCUUUUACCUACUUUAAAAAACCAGCCUGGGAGGGGACAAGGUAUUUGGCAGUCUCUUGUGUUGCAUUAGUGAUGAUGGGGCAUUAUGGGCUGAUAAUAGAGUCAUUUGGAAUUGGUUGAAUGACUAGACUCAAAAGAGCAGUCAUUAAUGGUCUGAUGUAAACAUGGAGGGAGAUACUAAUGGAAUUCUCUAGAUUUCUGUUCUUGGGCCUGUAUUGUUCAGCUUUUUUAUUAAUGAUCUGCAUGAAGACAUGAUAAUGGAUAAAUCAAAAGAAACUGGGAAGUAUAGCUAAUACUUUUCUAGGAUAAAAUAUGAACUACUGUGUUUAACUUCUAAAAUACUCUAUGAUCUGACCCCAACAUAUCUUUCUAGUUUAAUUAGUAGAUGCAAUAUUAUUGCUUCCCUUCCUGCAAUUCCAACAAAAUUGGUUUUCUCUCUUUUCCUCACAUGGAUCCCUUGAACUCCUCUGUCCAUGCAUUUUUACCGACCAUCCACUAUUCCUGCUUAUCUCAGCUUCAUGGAAUCCUCUCUCUCCUUAAAGAGAGCUCAAGCACCACCUUCUGCUUGAAGCCUUUCUAGAUCCCUCCAGGGAUUGGCACUCUAUCUCCUAAAACUGCCUUGUAUUUAAUGACUUUGUACAUAGUUGUAUUUGUUCACUGUACACUUAUUAUUUUUUAACUUUUUUGUUAUAUAGGAUAGCUUUCUGGGUGGUGACGUAGAAGGUAUGCAUUAGGAAAUGAAGUAACAACAAAUGAUAUCAAUAGAUACUAAAAACAAUAUUUAAAAACAUUUUAAAAGGACAAUUUGGGGGGGAAAGUAUAACAAUGGGCAAAAUCUUAGAAGAUAGUAACAUAAUACGAAUAAAUAUCCU
This is a long non-coding RNA of Sarcophilus harrisii (Tasmanian devil), 1350 nucleotides long. RefSeq lists it as uncharacterized. NCBI's taxonomy places the organism in Eukaryota, Metazoa, Chordata, Mammalia, Dasyuromorphia, Dasyuridae. The record is from RefSeq and is a predicted model, not a curated record. The transcript has 2 exons.